RNAcentral lists this ribosomal RNA (253 nucleotides) under uncultured bacterium. RNAcentral describes it as "partial 16S ribosomal RNA". It matches the Rfam family "Bacterial small subunit ribosomal RNA", at positions 524 to 776 of the family's 1533-position model. The record is from RNAcentral.
UACGGAGGGGGCUAGCGUUGUUCGGAAUUACUGGGCGUAAAGCGCGCGUAGGCGGCUUUGUAAGUUAGAGGUGAAAGCCCAGGGCUUAACCCUGGAAUUGCCUUUAAGACUGCAUCGCUAGAAUCUUGGAGAGGUGAGUGGAAUUCCGAGUGUAGAGGUGAAAUUCGUAGAUAUUCGGAAGAACACCAGUGGCGAAGGCGACUCACUGGACACGUAUUGACGCUGAGGUGCGAAAGCGUGGGGAGCAAACAGG